RNAcentral lists this ribosomal RNA (488 nucleotides) under uncultured bacterium. RNAcentral's name for it is "partial 16S ribosomal RNA". It matches the Rfam family "Bacterial small subunit ribosomal RNA", at positions 28 to 507 of the family's 1533-position model. The record is from RNAcentral.
GACGAACGCUGGCGGCGUGCUUAACACAUGCAAGUCGAACGGAAAGGCCCUGCUUUUGUGGGGUGCUCGAUUGGCGAACGGGUGAGUAACACGUGAGUAACCUGCCCUUGACUUUGGGAUAACUUCAGGAAACUGGGGCUAAUACCGGAUAGGAGCUCCUGCUGCAUGGUGGGGGUUGGAAAGUUUCGGCGGUUGGGGAUGGUCUCGCGGCUUAUCAGCUAGUUGGUGGGGUAGUGGCUUACCAAGGCUUUGACGGGUAGCCGGCCUGAGAGGGUGACCGGCAACACGGGAACGGAGACACGGUCCAGAGGCCGAAGGGAGGCAGCAGUAGGGAAUCGGACGCAAUGGGCGGAGGCGUGACGAAGCAACGCCGCGUGAGUGAUGAAGGUCUUCGGAUCGGAAAACUCUGUUAGUAGGGAAGAACAAAUGUGUAAGUAAAUAGGCACGUCGGGACGGUACCUAAUCAGAAAGCCACGGCUAACUACGUG